Molecule: long non-coding RNA, 7300 nt
Filed under: Lotus japonicus
Lineage: Eukaryota; Viridiplantae; Streptophyta; Magnoliopsida; Fabales; Fabaceae
Description: long non-coding RNA (LJAP_LNC000615)
Rfam family: U2 spliceosomal RNA (bases 4220-4415)
Source: RNAcentral
UAGAAUGCAAGAAAGAACAACGGUGAAGUGAGGAAGACAUAGAUAUUCUCAAAAUGUUUUGGGUAAUAUUGUUAGGAAGCUUAAAAUUGUUCUUGAUUUAUAUCAACUUUUCAAAAUUACUUAUAUCCACUUUUAUGCAUCAUUAAUGGCUAAACUAUAGGUGUUUAGUUUUGCUUUCACACCAAAGCAAACCACCAUGGCUUAUUCCACCUUGUUACUUUCACAUGUAUCGAAUUCUUGAUCUAAGAAUAAGGUUUUAUGCUUUCUUAUGGCUAAUGGAUAAUGCUAGGACUAUCCUAUUAAACAAUUGAAAUUUAUGAUAUUUUUGUUCACCAUUUUGAAGCUUAUAUAGCUGCUACGAGGCUGACACUUGAUGCCUCAUUUUACCUAAAAUUUUCGAGUCAGUUCCAUAAGAUUUGAAGAAUUUCGGAAUCAAGUAUAUGACAACAAUGAGUUUGGACAGAUUUAUCCAAUGUUUUGCAAUGCCAUGGGGGGCACCGCAACAUCAUUUUACACAACAAAAGGCAAUAACCACAUAAAGCCCCAUACUGCUAGAACCGAACUAUAUCCUAAGGUUUAUAUACUGACACACUGAGUGUUAUGGUCACGACCUUACUUGAACAGGAUCUGUUCUAUAGGCUCGUACAACUGUAUCCUUGAGUUCUAAGGAGACAGGAACCAAAGUCUGGUUGAUGAACCAUGACCGUGUGAUCAGAGCGUGAUUAACAGUUCACUGGCUAACCUUCGGGUUCACCAAAUUAGCGGUAGAGGAUCGUUCUCAGCUAGUUUCACUGGCUGGGGGGGGGGCACGGGUUGUUUGGCGAACCCCAAACUUUUUUAUUUUUUUGAAAAAGUUGAGUGUUUGAUUGAGAUAAGACACAAGUUUUGUUCUUCUAAAUAAAUAAAAAACAAUAGCAAAAGACAAACUAGAAGUAAAUCUAUUUCCUACUUAAAGAAGAAAAAACUAACACAGCAAAGGAUAUUACAGAAGUAAAAUUUUGAUUUGAGUCAAAGUUGUGUGGUGCUAUAUUACCUUCUUCCCUCUGGACCAUAAGCAACGAUUUUGUUCACUUGCAUGCCUCAUUGGAGAUUGUUGUGUUCUUCUUAGUGAAAAUGUGGCUCAAAAUCACCCUCCUUGAGAAUUGCUUUGAGUUAAACCCUUUGCCACAAACUUAAAAGGGAGACCAUGUCACAAGAGAAAAACAAAAAACACAGGAAGAUUGCACACAUGGAGAAACAAGCGGUUCAAGAUAUCAGUUGUCCGUUGAUACAUUGAGUAAAGAAAAAGUUUGGUAGAUAAGAUAGCUAUAUGAGGUAGGAAAAUCGAAGCAUUAAAUUACUGAUGGUUAGAGCCGUCGGUACCUGAAGGUUUAUAUAGCUUACUAAUGGCUCCAGGAACGACUAAAAUUGUUGAUAACCUAUUUAUAUGAGUGUUGUCCAUCACUUUCACUCACAACUCCUCCUCUCUUGUCUUCCCUCAUUUUCUUCAUUUUUUUUAUGUUCCAUUGUUUUUUAUUAGUGUUAGUAUUUUUUUAAUAUUCUUUGUAUUUUAUUCUGUAGUCUUUUUAACUCUUGUGAGAUACUUACAAAGCUUCAUUGCGGUCAGUAGAGUUUUCUUUUAAUAUUUAGAUAAUUACUUGAUUGAUAACUUCAAUUAUUUUGUGAUACUCGAAACCACACGUAUCAUAUGGAACUUUGAUACAUGAGGUCUAUAAUAUUGUCCUAUAAAGCGCAAACAAAUAAAAUUAAAUAUUUUCUUUAACCAAUAAUGCACUUUCAUCCCUGGUAAAUAAGUUUUCUUCCGUCCCAUAAUAUAAUUUACCACUGGCUUUUACAGACGGCCUAAACCUUCCGUACCUAAACCCUUAGUUCCUAUAAACCCUCGAUAACAUACCAAUGGUUAAAUUGUUAGUAAAUAUUACCGACAAGUGUUUUAACGACAGAUGUUUAACUGUCAGAAGGUCAUCGGUAAUUUCUAAUUACCGACAGUUUUACAAAGUUACCGACAACUUUCAGCCGUCAAUAAUUCUCGUUUUUCUUGUAGUGACAGCCUAAAAUGUGAUCUUAUGUUGUUUUAAUAAUAAGUUUGCCAUUCGCUUGCAAACCAUCAAAUUGUGAACAAAUUGUGUCUGUCAAUUGGGUUUGAAACAUCAUCUGUUUCAAUGGGAUUAUCACAAUAGCAUUUACUUAGCAUGCCAAAACUGUCAGAAAGUGUGGAAAUGUCUCGCUUUGGUCCCUUUCUGAACUUGUCAUUGGAAGAAAUGGCUGGAAAGAUCAAGGAUCGAUGACCUGCAAAAUCAUUGAUUCACCACACAUGUAAAUAAUCUUAGCCAUUUCACUAUUUCAGUCAAGAAUCAAAAGCAUUGGAAAAUCAAUAACUUGAGGGUAUGGAUUAGUGAGAUACAAAAUUUCAAAAGAUCAAAAUUUUCACAAUACAGAAAGAGGUAUCAUACAAUUUACUAUAAUAGUUAUUCAACCCAGGCAAAAAAGAGAAAAGGAGGUACAAAAUGGUUUUACAGAGAACUACAAACAUUAGAUUAGGAUGUAAACUGCGAACUUUUUAGCAUAACAAGCAAUGCUUGAGAUAAACAACAUGGUAACCAAUCUAAUGGCACUUCUCCCAAACAAGUUUUGCAAGGAAUUUUGUGAAGAGCUUCAUGUUGAAUGUGCCCAAAAAAAUUACAAUUGCUACUCAGGAUCAAUAUGAUUGUACAUGAAUCAUAUUGAAUGUGCCAAAGAAUAUGCUCAAUAUCAGUAUGAUGCACUUCAUGUUGAUGUACAAAAAACCAUCGAGGUAAGAAAUAACUAUGUAUAUAACAAACAUAAUUGUGUACUUUAUGUUACUCUUUUACCCCAUUUUUGAAGCUUAUUGUUGCUAUGAGGCUGACACUUACUGCCUCAUUUCACCUAAAUUUUUCGAGUCAUUUCUAAAAGAUUUCAAGAACUUCUGAAUCAAAUAUAUGGAUACAAUGAAUUUGGACAGAUUCCUCCAACGUUUUGCAAAGCCAUGACCGGCACAGAACAACAUGUAACACAACAAAAGGCAAUAACCACAUAAUGUCCUGCAUUGCUAGCACCGAACAAAAUCCUAAGGUUUAUAUACAGAAACGCUUAAACUUCAGUUCACGACUGUAUCCUUGAGUUCUAAGGAGACCAGAACCUAAGUCAUGGUGUCUGAACAUGACUGUGUAAUCAGAGCGUGAUCAAUAGUCCAUGGAGACCAUGUCAAAUGUUGCAUAUUCCAUCUAGUCAUCAAUUAGCAGAUCUUCUCACCAAACCUCGAGCAAACGAAAAGCAUCCUACUAGAUCAAAGCAAAGCAACAGAAGCUAGAAAGAUAUUCAUAUUCUAAUGAAUCUUUUUAAAUCAGACCUAAAAUGUAGAAAAAAAAUGGUGUGGUAAGGAGAUACAAUAAAUUUAUCUUAAAAGAACUUAAAGCUUACUCAUGAAAAAUUCUCAGUGUCUCUAGCACUCAUGGAUCCUAUAUUUCUCAAGAGCAGAAAAUUAUCUGAGUCACUCAUCAUCCCUUUUGAAUUGCUCCACUUGAUAGAAUAUGGCCCCACCAUAUGAACAUCAAGAAGAUGGGACUUGAAUAAAAUCCCAUUGGCAGCAUCACCACCACCAUGUCACCGAAAGGAAAGUCCAGUUGUGCCUAGAUUUAGAAACAAUAGAACAAAACCUAUGGAAUAUGACAUUCCCUCCCGUCAAUAGUUGGAUGCUGGGAUACAAUCAUAAAGUUGAAAGGGUUUUUGUACUCAUAUACUGAUAUACCCUCUAUCCAAUGCUAAGAGUUGCAUGAUAGGGUAGAAAACAUGGGAUCAAUAACGCUUAUUUAACUCAAGUAUUCUGCUGUAGAGUGUUAGUAGGCCAAAGCAAACCAGACCGCAUCGCAUGCAAUAUCCUCAGUUUCAUAUUCUUUAAUGCAGACACCCACAAUUGACGAGUCUACAAGCACCUACAUCUAUCCAAACCUUGGGAUCUUGAUCAAGUGCUACCAAAAGAAGAUCCUUAACCUGAAAACAUUAUAGCGUCAACAGAUUGUCGGAAAGAAUAAUUCAAACAGGCUCGCAGAUGCCAUAUCAUGCACUUGCACUUGCUAUAAGAUUAUAUCAUGUAUUUCUGUUUCUCAGUGCAUCACCUUUCAAGUCCCACAUUGGCUGUGCAGCACAAUCAAAGCACAUAUACUGGAUAUAAAAGCAGAUACAUGGCAGAGGAAGAAGCAUACCUUUCUCGGCCUUUUUGCUAAGAUCAAGUGUAGUAUCUGUUCUUAUCAGUUUAAUAUCUGAUUUGUGAGCCAAUGGCUCACACGAUAUUAAAUUUAUAUUUUUAGGUGGAGGGUCCACCACAGUAGCUUGCUAUUGGGAUCCUCAAGCGUCGCCCAUGCCUUACACUAUUGCAAGGGCCUGGCGCACCCCACCCAAACCUAGUUCAAGAUUUUCAAUUCUGAUAAAUCAACACUGUUGUUCUAGCACAAGUAAACCGCAAUUAUUAAAAGUUUCAAUUAUUAAACCAAUCCUCAGGAAAUAUGUGAAAAUAACUUAGGAAAAUGAAUAAGUUAGUCUUUAUAGUAAAGUACACUCAAAUUUUCAUGUAUAGCCGCGUUGAAUGCCUACUGCAGCAUAAUAUACUUGUCUUCCCCCAACCUCACACAAGAAUCAUCUCCAUCAAUUUCUAUCUUAUGUCCUCUUGUAGCCCCUUUCACUAAGCUACAGCCUGUCAUCAGAUACUGGAAUGCCAUAUAGAUAAUGAGAUUGGCCUCUUUUCUGUUAGAUCAGCCUAAGAUUUUACACUAAAUCCUUGAUUACAAUGGAUGUGAGGAAACCAUCAAAGUAUUUAGGUAGCAUACAACCUCUCAUAUCACAUCCCCUGCUGUCAUUAUAAUGACUUGAUCACUCCCCUAAAUUGAACAGCUAACUAACAGAACAAUUAACUCCAAAGAUCCAUUCUCUCUCUCUCUCUAAAUACCUCUGCCCACUUGUGAGAUCUUACCCAAAUGCUAAGAUAAUAAACUGAGCACAAAAAUUUAUAGAAAAACAAAUGACACAGGAAUAACUGGAAAUUUCUUAGAAUUAUUGGAGAAGAAAGAAAAAAAAUGUCAACUUUGAAUGAGAAAAACAAAACUACUAAGCUUCUCUCUAUCGUUCCAAGUUUAUGGACUAAGGAGCAAGCUCAACUGGUGUGGGACAUGAGAUGAAGUGAGACAUCACAUGCAAAGCUAAAGCAACACAAAGAGACCAGCUUCCUCCCUCAAGGCAAAGCAACAGAAGUUAUGAAGAUAUUAAUAUUCUGAUGAUUCAUUUUAAAUCAAUUUUAGAUCUUAAAAAAUGUGUGGUAUAGGGAGUAAGUAAUUUAUGUUAAGAGAAAUUACAACUUACUCAUGAACAACUCAGGCUAUGCCUUGGACAUGGAGAAGGAGUUAAAGUAAUACUCAUCUGGUUUGUAUCCUAAUUCAGAACAUGACAGUAUUCAAUGUUACAUUGUCUCUGUAGCACAUGUCAACCCAGAUGAAUUGCUCCAAAUACAUCAUGACUAGAAAACACAUGCUGCCCCUUAACUUAAGACUGAUAAAUCAAUCAUGAAUAAAGCAGUGUGAUUAAAGAAAAUUCAGAAAACAUAUAAGACAAACUCAACAUAGGGACAGUGUCAAUAUUUUCAUAGCAAAAUAAAUUUAUUUAGAAAAAAGGAAGAAAAGCACAUCUGUUGAAAAAAUAUGAUGCAACAGAAAAAGCUAAGCAAAUAAGAUUAUAAGAGAGCCAAAACAAAAAUAAAAAUUUAUUUGCCUACAUUUGCGCCUUCAACUUGGGAUUUGAUAGAGUGCUCUUUGUUUCCAAGCAACUCAGCAGUGAAAGGCGCACCCAAAUAAAUUUCUUUUCUAGUUCUUUUGCAGCAUGAGUUUGCAUAUAUGUAGCCAAUGGUAUUUAACAAACCAAACCCAAAAGUACUAUAAUGACAACUAGUUUACUCAGCAAAAGUACCUCAUGUUGAUAUUCUUCAAUAAAGCAAUUUAAACACUUGAUAUAUCAUUUUUCCAUGUCAUCCAAAGUCAACAUGCAUUUCAACCAUAUCAAAGUUUCCUGAAUCCUAUAGGUUGAUAUUUAUGAUGAAAAAUAGCAUCCAAAUGACAACUUGUAAUUUUGUGUGCUGAGCUUAUGAUCAUGUAAUUUAUCAAUAAAAAACUGUAUUCACCCCUCAUGAACCCUAGGAAAAAACAUGAUACAAAAAGAACUGGAAAAUGCUUAGAACUUAUCCAGGAAAAAUGAGAAAUUUCAAAGAGAAAAGAAAACUUACACUCUUCUGCAGCUUCAGUUUAAAUAAAAUGGAGUAAAAAUAUCCAAGUUUCAUGAGAGAAUCAAAAUCAAAUAAAAUCAAAUUUUGAUCCAGGGGAAGAAGAAUGGAUUGACAAAAAAAUUUGGACCAUUUCUCGAUUUGUGCGUGUCAUCCUUGCGCAGGGGCCAUGCUAAUCUUCUCUGUAUCGUUCCAAUUUUAUCGGAUGUCCCCGAAGGGACAAUCUCUACUGCUAGGUGGUUCAUUAUAAACACUUGUAUUGUUGCAAGUUUAACCGAUGUGGGACUUGAGACAGCCUGCGAUGCUCAAAAAAGACCGAAAUAACACAAGUCUGCUCAGCCUCAAUAGACAGCAUGCGAGCAUGCAUCCAAGCUCUUUCGUGUUUUGUGGGAAUGCUAGAAAGAACAACGGUGAAGUGAGGAAGACAUAGAUAUUCUCAAAAUGUUUUGGUUUGCUUUAUCAAAAUUAUAGUUUUAGGACCAAAGAAUACGUGGAGCCUUGGAAAACAGCAACGUUUCAACUUUUCCUUGGUGAAUGAUCAACAUCGAUCUCCCACUCCCCCAAAGGACAGAGCUGGGAGAGUCUCUAGCCUCUUUGAUUACACAAUACUAUAUAAAUCUAUCUACUGCCUCUAAUUUCCCAACCUUCUAAUUGGCCCUCAUCCUACUAUUAAGAACUCUACUUUUUGAGUUGGGCUUUUUCUGCAAUGCUUUUAGUCCUAUUGUUGUGAGCUUUUCUUUUUGUAACCCGCACCUCAUUAUUCGGUGGAGUAGUUCAAUCCAGUUCAAAACUUUUACCUUUUUGAGUCAUUUAUAUAAGAUUUCAAGAACUUCGGAAUCAAAUACAUGGCAACAUUGAAUUUGGAUGAAUUUCUCCAACGUUUUGCAAUGCCAUGAAGGGCAUAGUGACAUCAUGUUACACAACAAAAGUCACAACAACCAGAUUAUCACAUGAAAGUCCCACACUGCUAGCACCGAACUAUAUCCUAAGGUUUAUAUAUUGACACGGUGAUAUAAN